Long non-coding RNA from Piliocolobus tephrosceles (Ugandan red Colobus), 773 nucleotides. The record is from Ensembl. Lineage: Eukaryota; Metazoa; Chordata; Mammalia; Primates; Cercopithecidae.
CCCCGCCCUGCCGCGCCCCAGGGACGCAGCGCGCACAGGGACGCAGCGCGCACGCAACCGCGUUUCCGGCGCUACCUGGCUGCUGUGCCCCGCAGCUUGUGGCGCUUGUGGACCGCGUGGGCCUGCGGGAGAUCGAGUUGGUCAGUGGAUCUUGCUGAGUUUCCUGUGGGCCUGUGUGAAAUGAUCGGCAUCUGUUCAGCGUUACUAUGUGCUAAGCACCUUUGCAUGUGUCAUCCGUUGAAUGCUCACAACAGCCCCAGGAAAUUGGUACCAGUGUUAUCCUCAUGAUUCUUGUUCUCUUUUCUGGACUGAGAAGAGAAGAAUGGAGAAGAGCCCCUUCCCAUUGUGAGUGGACAGUAAAUGGGUAUGGAGUAGCCAGAAGCUUCUGGAAACCAGAGUUCCUUUCCUCAGCUGAAAAGAACCCUAAGAGUAGACUGCCUGGGAUUGCGUGGGGGAUGGGAGGAUCACUGGACCUGUGGGCCAGAGACUUGGGUUUGAGUCCCAGCUCUGGCUUUGCUGAGGUGUGUGACUCUCAGAAAGUCAUCCAACCUCUGUGGGCCUUAUUGUCAGUGAUAGAACCUGUGGGGAAUGAUUACCUUUGAGUCCCAUCCUAUGACAAUAUGGUUUGUUUUUAAAGCCAGGUUAGCACUGACUUCUCUCUCGUGUUUUCAGAGUGCCUUUGCAUUGGUUUGGCUUUGGCUACACAGCACUGGUUGUUUCUGGUGGGAUCGUUGGCUAUGUAAAAACAGGUAUGGUUUUGUUGUUACUUAGCC